AGAGUUUGAUCAUGGCUCAGAGCGAACGUUAGCGGCGGGCCUAACACAUGCAAGUCGAACGAGAAUGUAGGCUUCGGCCUACUAGUAAAGUGGCAGACGGGUGAGUAACACGUGGGUGACCUGCCUUCGAGCGGGGGAUAACGUCCCGAAAGGGACGCUAAUACCGCAUGACAUCCUGCCUUUGAAGAGGUGGAGAUCAAAGUUGGGGAUCGCAAGACCCAGCACUCGAAGAGGGGCCCGCGCCUGAUUAGCUAGUUGGUGGGGUAACGGCUCACCAAGGCGACGACGGGUAGCCGGCCUGAGAGGGCGAUCGGCCACACUGGGACUGAGACACGGCCCAGACUCCUACGGGAGGCAGCAGUGGGGAAUAUUGGACAAUGGGCGCAAGCCUGAUCCAGCCAUUCCGCGUGCAGGAUGAAGGCCUUCGGGUUGUAAACUGCUUUUGUACGGAACGAAACGCGCUAGGUUAAUACCUUGGCGUAAUGACGGUACCGUAAGAAUAAGCACCGGCUAACUACGUGCCAGCAGCCGCGGUAAUUC
This 540-nucleotide ribosomal RNA is filed under the name uncultured bacterium. Its description in RNAcentral is "bacterial SSU rRNA". It matches the Rfam family "Bacterial small subunit ribosomal RNA", at positions 8 to 526 of the family's 1533-position model. The record is from RNAcentral.